AAGUCGUAACAAGGUUUCCGUAGGUGAACCUGCGGAAGGAUCAUUAAAAAUAUAAUUAUAUAAAAUAUUAUAUAUAAAUAUUUUUAUUUAUAAUAAUAGAAAAAUAUAAAAAAUUUAUAUAAAUUUAUUUAUAUAAAAAUUUUAUAUUUUUCGGUGAGAAUGAUAACUCUCACCAUUAAAAAAUUAAUAGUGUCAUAAAAAAUUAUAAUAUAAAAUUUUUAAAAUUAAUAUUGUCUAUGAAUUAUUUUUAUUUAAUAAAUAAAAUAUAACUUUUAACAAUGGAUCUCUUGGCUCUUA
This 297-nucleotide unclassified non-coding RNA is filed under the name fungal sp. RNAcentral describes it as "partial internal transcribed spacer region". The stretch from base 1 to 46 matches the Rfam family "Eukaryotic small subunit ribosomal RNA", at positions 1786 to 1831 of the family's 1831-position model. Lineage: Eukaryota; Fungi. The record is from RNAcentral.